CGGCCUUUCCUUGUUGAUGACUGUCGAUUGUCACUAAUUAUGGAUCCUCAACUUAAAGGUCGUUUCCCAGUGAAGGCAGCCCGGACAGUGGCUGAUAUCGCUCUCAGAUGCCUUCAGAAGGACCCAUUGGAAAGACCAACUAUGAGAACUAUUGUAGAACAUCUUAAAGUAAUACAAGACAUGAAAUGUUCCACUCGCUUUCCAUUGCAAGAGCCAGCAGCAGUUGCUGGAAAACAGAUGUCUAGGUCACC
This 251-nucleotide unclassified non-coding RNA is filed under the name Hevea brasiliensis (rubber tree). Lineage: Eukaryota; Viridiplantae; Streptophyta; Magnoliopsida; Malpighiales; Euphorbiaceae. The record is from RNAcentral.